This 430-nucleotide ribosomal RNA is filed under the name uncultured Ureaplasma sp. Its description in RNAcentral is "bacterial SSU rRNA". It matches the Rfam family "Bacterial small subunit ribosomal RNA", at positions 354 to 776 of the family's 1533-position model. The record is from RNAcentral. Lineage: Bacteria; Bacillati; Mycoplasmatota; Mycoplasmoidales; Mycoplasmoidaceae.
GUAGGGAAUUUUUCACAAUGGGCGCAAGCCUUAUGAAGCAAUGCCGCGUGAACGAUGAAGGUCUUAUAGAUUGUAAAGUUCUUUUAUAUGGGAAGAAACGCUAAGAUAGGAAAUGAUUUUAGUUUGACUGUACCAUUUGAAUAAGUAUCGGCUAACUAUGUGCCAGCAGCCGCGGUAAUACAUAGGAUGCAAGCGUUAUCCGGAUUUACUGGGCGUAAAACGAGCGCAGGCGGGUUUGUAAGUUUGGUAUUAAAUCUAGAUGCUUAACGUCUAGCUGUAUCAAAAACUGUAAACCUAGAGUGUAGUAGGGAGUUGGGGAACUCCAUGUGGAGCGGUAAAAUGCGUAGAUAUAUGGAAGAACACCGGUGGCGAAGGCGCCAACUUGGACUAUCACUGACGCUUAGGCUCGAAAGUGUGGGGAGCAAAUAGG